AAACGACUCUCGGCAACGGAUAUCUCGGCUCACGCAUCGAUGAAGAACGUAGCAAAAUGCGAUACUUGGUGUGAAUUGCAGAAUCCCGUGAACCAUCGAGUUUUUGAACGCAAGUUGCGCCCGAAGCCUUCUGGUUGAGGGCACGUCUGCCUGGGCGUCACGC
This 163-nucleotide ribosomal RNA is filed under the name Simsia calva. Its description in RNAcentral is "5.8S ribosomal RNA". It matches the Rfam family "5.8S ribosomal RNA". Rfam says of the family: 5.8S ribosomal RNA (5.8S rRNA) is a component of the large subunit of the eukaryotic ribosome. It is transcribed by RNA polymerase I as part of the 45S precursor that also contains 18S and 28S rRNA. Lineage: Eukaryota; Viridiplantae; Streptophyta; Magnoliopsida; Asterales; Asteraceae. The record is from RNAcentral. RNAcentral also lists the same sequence under 22 other names.